UAUUGCACUCGUCCCGGCCUGC
This 22-nucleotide microRNA is filed under the name Lytechinus variegatus (green sea urchin). RNAcentral describes it as "lva-miR-92b-3p". Its record names the gene lva-miR-92b-3p. RNAcentral also lists the same sequence under 4 other names. The record is from miRBase by way of RNAcentral. Lineage: Eukaryota; Metazoa; Echinodermata; Echinoidea; Temnopleuroida; Toxopneustidae.